This 464-nucleotide ribosomal RNA is filed under the name uncultured Weissella sp. Its description in RNAcentral is "bacterial SSU rRNA". It matches the Rfam family "Bacterial small subunit ribosomal RNA", at positions 338 to 795 of the family's 1533-position model. The record is from RNAcentral. Lineage: Bacteria; Bacillati; Bacillota; Bacilli; Lactobacillales; Lactobacillaceae.
CCUACGGGUGGCUGCAGUAGGGAAUUUUCCACAAUGGACGAAAGUCUGAUGGAGCAACGCCGCGUGUGUGAUGAAGGGUUUCGGCUCGUAAAACACUGUUGUAAGAGAAGAAUGACAUUGAGAGUAACUGUUCAGUGUGUGACGGUAUCUUACCGAAAAGGAAGGCUCAAUAACUGGCAGGAUGCCCGGGAAUACCGAUGUUCCAAGGCGUAACCGGAUUUAUUGGGCGUAAAGCGAUCGGAGACGGUUAUUUAAGUCCGAAGUGAAAGCCCACAGCUUAACUGUGGAAGUGCUUUGGAAACUGGAUAACUUGAGUGCAGUAGAGGAGAGUGGAACUCCAGGUGUAGCGGUGAAAUGCGUAGAUAUAUGGAAGAACACCAGUGGCGAAGGCGGCUCUCUGGACUGUAACUGACGUUGAGGCUCGAAAGUGUGGGUAACAAACAGGAUUAGAUACCCUAGUAGUC